This 207-nucleotide ribosomal RNA is filed under the name uncultured bacterium. RNAcentral's name for it is "partial 16S ribosomal RNA". It matches the Rfam family "Bacterial small subunit ribosomal RNA", at positions 568 to 774 of the family's 1533-position model. The record is from RNAcentral.
CACGUAGGCGGACUGGAAAGUUGGAGGUGAAAUCCCAGGGCUCAACCUUGGAACUGCCUUCAAAACUAUCAGUCUGGAGUUCGAGAGAGGUGAGUGGAAUUCCGAGUGUAGAGGUGAAAUUCGUAGAUAUUCGGAGGAACACCAGUGGCGAAAGCGGCUCACUGGCUCGAUACUGACGCUGAGGUGCGAAAGCGUGGGGAGCAAACA